RNAcentral lists this long non-coding RNA (2114 nucleotides) under Setaria viridis. RNAcentral describes it as "long non-coding RNA (SVIR_LNC007844)". The record is from RNAcentral. Lineage: Eukaryota; Viridiplantae; Streptophyta; Magnoliopsida; Poales; Poaceae.
AAAAUUACAGAAUUGAACCGCUGGUUACAUCACAUAACUAUAGCGAAACAACUUUGUGCCUUACUGGACCCCUGCAAAACCAGAACACAGAUUCACUUGUGCCCUUGCUAACUGUCUGUCACUCAGCUCCCCCAAGCUUUGUGCUGAUACCAACCACAGAAUUAGGUCCAACAGAACUUUUAACAAAUCAUGGUCGAUUCAGAUCAGAUAUGAUCAAUAUCCUUCUAUGUAUGUACUUGAACAAAAACAUGUAGCAUACACAUUGUGUUGAAUGUGUUGGUAUUCAUCAACCCAGGACCUUCUUGACUUCCUGAAUGAACUUGGCUCUCUGAGAGGGAUCCAUCUGAACAAGCAUCCAAAGGAACAUGUAAGACGGUUACACAAAAAAAAGCUGUAGGUAUUAGAACCAUGAUUUGGCAAGAUGCAGUGUCUAGCACCAUGCAAACGGAAUAGGAACUCUGUGUUAGGAGUAAUCCUGUGCGUGCUGUCCAGGUGCAGAGCUUGUCCAGGUUCAGAGUGUCUAGGUGCAGAGCCUAUUUACUUAGCAGAUUUCCAGCUGCUAGUUAGUGAGAAUAAUAAGCGAAUCAAGGGAGUGAUGGCUGUAGCUAUUAGCUUUCAAUUACAGGCCCUAUUGUAGCUCUUGGCUAUGUAUAAAUAGAGAAGAAAACAGAAAAGGCAGAAAGCAAUUGCAGCACCAAAAGACUACUGUGUAGGUGUGUGUUCUGUGUGUGAGUUCCUAGGUUACCUGUGAGGCUUUAGGCCUUUCACUCUAAAGAAGUGAGAUGCAGCAAAAAAGCACCAGUUGGAACCCAAGUUAAAUACAAAUACUAAUUGGUAAAACCAGCAGAUAGCAAGCUUACCUUAUCUAAUAAUGUGGAAAGACCCUGUGAGAAUGCUUCUAGAUCUGAACUGGAGUCUGCAAGAUCGGAGAGCGACUGAGACACCUUUUGAGCCCUUAACUCUUGGAUAUAUCCCUUAUAGUUUUCAGGAUUCUCCUUCCAGGCAACAAAAGCAUCAUCAUCAUCCCAUUCAGUGCUUCCUGUUGUGGCUUGAGAAGCCAAGUACCAUUCCUUGAUCAGCUCAACUGCUGAUUGGUGAGUGAAGUGGUCACCAGCUAUUCCUCUUAUUUCUUUUGCAAGAACAUCUUCAGAGAUCCUCCUCCGUAGCCUUCUGUAGAAGAAAGAACGUGAUUCUUCCCAAUCUACAACUUUCUUAAUCACACCUUUAGCUGCCAUUCUGAGGGAAGUAUCAUGCAAUUCAGCAAACCGUAUUGCAAUCUGGGUGUAUAAAGGCAACAACUGUUUCGUACGAGCAUCUAUACUCUUCUGAAGGGAUUCUACAUCUGUUAGGCUUCCAUUUCCAAGCUUUGCACCUUGGAGUUUUGCUUUCAGAUUUAUCAACUCUGGGUCAAGCCUACCCAUACAGUCUUGGAGCUCCUCUGAUCUGAAUUUGAUUUCAAUUAACCCUUGAGGUUCAAGAACAUUGCCUUUAGCAGUCCUCUCAGCAUAACACUCAAUUCGGUCUGGAUUUAUUUUGCUAUCAACCACAACCCAAGCUCCUCCACGCAGCUCUCCAGCCAUAGGAAUGUAGACAAAAGCAGGCUGAUUGUAUGUCCUAAGGUUCUCAACAAUUGUUGACCCAGCCUGAAGAAUUCCUUCAAACAGAUCUCUUUGUCCACCAGAGAAUCCUCUCCAGUUAGCAAGGAUGAACAGCGGCAAUCCUUCACGGUUGAAGUCCAACAAUGCCUGAGCUGUCUUGGUUGCAGAAUCUGGGAACCACACUUGUCCAGCCCGAGGAACAGAUCGCUCAUGGGAAUCAAGCUGGCCUGGAUCAGCAGGGAUAAGCUGCAUCAUGGUUUGUGUCUCCACAGCUAUGACACCAACAGGAAUUCCUCCAAGCUUUGCUCUGCCCGUAACCACUGUUUUUGCCCAUCCUUCAAAUGUCUCGACAAAGCUGUCUUUGUCAAACAUACCACCCAACCAUUUCCCUUGGCUGUCAUCUACACCACGAAUGGCUGCGCGCGGAUCACAUGUGUUCUCAGGGAUGUAUGCAACAGGUCUGUCUGGUGGGUCCAAAGGUUUUGUAAUAGGAAGAGGUCCACCAAUGUUGGCAGG